AUGAAAGCAGCUCCUCUGACCACAGUGACUUGGAUAUCUCUGUCAGCCCUCUGCCAGCUGUCUGCCCACGCCUACCUGCAGCCCCCAAUCCACAGAAUGUACCCACAGUCAGGAAACAAGCUCUUCUGUUCCAGAAACCAGAUAUGCUGUGGCACCCUCUGUCUUCGGCAAGGAGGAGUACAACAGUGCCAAGGCCCGUCUCACUCAACUAAGACUGAGAUGGUUAGCAGAGUGUCGUUGUCCUCCAGUAGGGGUUUCUCUCUGAGGAAGACUGACGACGACCCCCGACCUUCCAUGCCGCCCCAGAACCACCACAGCACUCAGCAGCUUUACAGAGAGAGCAGCAGGUCAUAGAGCCCCACGGUAGCCGACGCGAUGACCCCCGACCUUCCACACCACCCCAGACCCACCACAGGACUCAGCAGGUCAGAUAGAUCGACUGAGAGCCGACCUGGGUUCAAAUACUAUUUCAAAUCUUUCAAAUACGUUGAGCAUUUGCUUUAGUCAGCCUGGAGUGCCAGGUGGGCGGGAUUUGUACUUUUGGUGCCAUGAGCCAUUUUGUAUUUUGCAUCAAUGGAUAUGUGGUGUAUGUGAACGACUGGGGAGUUACUGGUUUCGAACAUAGAAAUAUAAUUACUAGACUGGUUCCCCCAUCACAGGUCAUUGACUUGAAUGGGGGUUUCUGUUCUAGUAGCUCUGUUUCUAUGGUUUCUAAAAUGCAUUCCUCUGCCUCUCAACUUGAGGUCCCACACCAGAUAGUGGCUGCGCCAAUGCCUAUGUCAAUGCCUGCAAUCAGAAUGCGGGUCAGGGUUCAGGAUAACGUGUGUCUGAUCCCAGUACCAUAUACAGUGGGGAGAACAAGUAUUUGAUACACUGCCGAUUUUGCAGGUUUUUACAAAGCAUGUAAAAAUCCAGAAAAUCACAUUGUAUGAUUUUUAAGUAAUUCAUUUGCAUUUUAUUGCAUGACAUAAGUAUUUGAUACAUCAGAAAAGCAGAACUUACCCUGCCGUAGCCUAGUGGUUAGAGCGUUGGACUAGUAACCGGAAGGUUACAAGGUUACAAGUUCAAACCCCAGAGCUGACAAGGUACAAAUCUGUCGUUCUGCCCCUGCCCCUGAACAGGCAGUUAACCCACUCUUCCUAGGCCGUCAUUGAAAAUAAGAAUUUGUUCUUAACUGACUUUCCUAGUUAAAUAAAGGUUUAAAUAUAUAUAUAUAUUAGCAGCAGGGAGGCGAGUGUAGAGAGUAUAGAGAUAUUGUUAUCCACCUCGGCACCAACGAUGUUAGGAUGAAACAGUCAGAGAUCACCAAGCGCAACAUAGCUUCUGCGUGUAAAUCAGCUAGAAAGAUGUGUCGGCAUCGAGUAAUUGUCUCUGGCCCCCUCCCAGUUAGGGAGAGUGAUGAGCUCUACAGCAGAGUCUCACAACUCAAUCGCUGGUUGAAAACUGUUUUCUGCCCCUCCACAAAAGAUAGAAUUUGUAGAUAAUUGGCCCUCUUUCUGGGACUCACCCACAAACAGGACCAAGCCUGACCUGCUGAGGAGUGACGGACUCCAUCCUAGCUGGAGGGGUGCUCUCAUCUUAUCUACCAACAUAGACAGGGCUCUAACUCCUCUAGCUCCACAAUGAAAUAGGGUGCAGGCCAGGCAGCAGGCUGUUAGCCAGCCUGCCAGCAUAGUGGAGUCUGCCACUAGCACAGUCAGUGUAGUCAGCUCAGCUAUCACCAUUGAGACCGUGUCUGUGCCUCGACCUAGGUUGGGCAAAACUAAACAUGGCAGUGUUCGCCUUAGCAAUCUCACUAGGAUAAAGACCACCUCCAUUCCUGUCAUUAUUGAAAGAGAUCAUGAUACCUCACAUCUCAAAAUAGGGCUACUUAAUGUUAGAUCCCUUACUUCAAAGGCAAUUAUAGUCAAUGAACUAAUCACUGAUCAUAAUCUUGAUGUGAUUGGCCUGACUGAAACAUGGCUUAAGCCUGAUGAAUUUACUGUGUUAAAUGAGGCCUCACCUCCUGGCUACACUAGUUACCAUAUCCCCCGUGCAUCCCGCAAAGGCAUAGGUGUUGCUAACAUUUACGAUAGCAAAUUUCAAUUUACAAAAAAAAAUGACGUUUUCGUCUUUUGAGCUUCUAGUCAUGAAAUCUAUGCAGCCUACUCAAAUCACUUUUUAUAGCUACUGUUUACAGGCCUCCUGGGCCAUAUACACCGUUCCUCACUGAGUUCCCUGAAUUCCUAUCGGACCUUGUAGUCAUAGCAGAUAAUAUUCUAAUCUUUGACUUUAAUAUUCACAUGGAAAAGUCCACAGACCCACUCCAAAAGGCUUUCGGAGCCAUCAUCGACUCAGUGGGUUUUGUCCAACAUGUCUCUGGACCCACUCACUGUCACAGUCAUAC
This is a long non-coding RNA of Oncorhynchus kisutch (coho salmon), 2386 nucleotides long. Lineage: Eukaryota; Metazoa; Chordata; Actinopteri; Salmoniformes; Salmonidae. The record is from Ensembl.